RNAcentral lists this ribosomal RNA (253 nucleotides) under uncultured bacterium. RNAcentral describes it as "partial 16S ribosomal RNA". It matches the Rfam family "Bacterial small subunit ribosomal RNA", at positions 524 to 776 of the family's 1533-position model. The record is from RNAcentral.
UACAGAGGGGGCAAGCGUUGUUCGGAAUUACUGGGCGUAAAGGGCGCGUAGGCGGCCGCCUAAGUCAGACGUGAAAUCCCUCGGCUCAACCGGGGAACUGCGUCUGAUACUGGGUGGCUUGAAUCCGGGAGAGGGAUGCGGAAUUCCAGGUGUAGCGGUGAAAUGCGUAGAUAUCGGGAGGAACACCAGUGGCGAAGGCGGCUACCUGGCCCACUCUUGACGCUGAGGCGCGAAAGCUAGGGGAGCAAACGGG